This 497-nucleotide ribosomal RNA is filed under the name uncultured bacterium. RNAcentral's name for it is "partial 16S ribosomal RNA". It matches the Rfam family "Bacterial small subunit ribosomal RNA", at positions 28 to 507 of the family's 1533-position model. The record is from RNAcentral.
GAUGAACGCUGGCGGCGUGCCUAAUACAUGCAAGUCGAGCGAACAGACGAGGAGCUUGCUCCUCUGACGUUAGCGGCGGACGGGUGAGUAACACGUGGAUAACCUACCUAUAAGACUGGGAUAACUUCGGGAAACCGGAGCUAAUACCGGAUAAUAUAUUGAACCGCAUGGUUCAAUAGUGAAAGACGGUUUUGCUGUCACUUAUAGAUGGAUCCGCGCCGCAUUAGCUAGUUGGUAAGGUAACGGCUUACCAAGGCAACGAUGCGUAGCCGACCUGAGAGGGGCAGCGGCCACACGGGAACUGAGACACGGUCCAGACUCAUACGGGAGGCAGCAGUAGGGAAUCUUCCGCAAUGGGCGAAAGCCUGACGGAGCAACGCCGAGUGAGUGAUGAAGGUCUUAGGAUCGUAAAACUCUGUUAUUAGGGAAGAACAAAUGUGUAAGUAACUAUGCACGUCUUGACGGUACCUAAUCAGAAAGCCACGGCUAACUACGUG